AAAGUAUUCCAAACCAAAGGAGGAUGGAACUUCAUAAGACUUGGGAAAUAAAUAAAACCAUCAAGUUUUGGAAAGAUAAAACAUGCAAGAUUCACAAUGCCUUCACAAUUGCUGGGGAGGAGACUCUCCAACCAGCCCAGCUACCUCAGAGUUUUUCAGGGAGCUCCAGAGAUUCAGGCUCAUAAGCAAUCAUCCAUGCUGUUGGACUUUUGGCUUGAAUCAUACAUGUUCUAAAAGUAACCCCUUACACAUACUCUAGAGGCAGCCCUAAUAGAGUUAGUGGUGCCUCAAAUAAAACUGUGGUAGAAUCAAGUAAGAUGUUUCUUGAGUCUGCAGAUGAUGCCUUCCGUACCUGGAGUAAGGAAAUGUCUGUUUAUGUCUCCCCAGGAAAAGUCACACAACAACCAUCAUUCUCUGAAAUUCCCUCAUCUGGAGACGUGUCAUCCCAGUCACCAAGCUUUCUUUACCUGACAUCUCCCUCUAAGCCUCUAUGUCUCCUCUGCUUUGCAUAUUCAUGUACAUCUGGACAACAAGAACCAUCCUGUUGAUGACACAUGCUUCCUGUGGGAUAAGAUGGCUAAGAGAUGUCUGCUGAAUUUGAAGACCACUACCCAGUAAGACUCCAGCACCAGGCUAGAUCUUAAAUCGUGAUUAUAAAGAAACUUGUGCCUGUUGGGAUAUG
Molecule: small RNA, 682 nt
Filed under: Rattus norvegicus (Norway rat)
Lineage: Eukaryota; Metazoa; Chordata; Mammalia; Rodentia; Muridae
Description: uncharacterized LOC102549557
Source: RNAcentral